CAUAGAUAGUGUGGCCCGGGGACCCUGGGAUGCUGGAGCCUGGUCUGGAAUAGAUGCUUUCGGAGGAAGUCCUGGUGGGCUUCAGCUUUUCCUCCCUCU
Long non-coding RNA from Myotis davidii, 99 nucleotides. RefSeq lists it as uncharacterized. The transcript has 3 exons. The record is from RefSeq and is a predicted model, not a curated record. NCBI's taxonomy places the organism in Eukaryota, Metazoa, Chordata, Mammalia, Chiroptera, Vespertilionidae.